GUCUUGACCAAAUUACGUGCCAGCAGUCGCGGUAACACGUAGAAGACUAGUGUUAUUCAUCUUUAUUAGGUUUAAAGGGUACCUAGACGGAAAAUCAAGCCAUAAUAGGGACUAAUUUUCUAGAGUUUUAUGAGAGAAGGGGUGAAUUUCCGGAGGAAAGUUGAUAUUUAGUGAUACUGGAAGGACGGGUAACGGCGAAGGCAACCUUGUAUGUAAAAACUGACGUUGAGGGACGAAGCCUUGGGUAACGAGAAGGAUUAGAUACCCUAGUAGUCCUUGGAGACAAUUAUGAAUGUCAUAGGCUAGAUAAUUUAGCCUAUAAAUGAAAGUGUAAGCAUUCCACCUCAUGAGUAAAGCGGCAACGCCCAAAUUGAAAUCAUUAGACCGUUUCUGAAACCAGUAGUGAAGUAUGUUAUUUAAUUCGAUGAUCCGCGAAUAACCUUACCACAAUAUGCAUUGAAUAUUAUUCAAUUAUUACAAGCGCUGCACGGCUGUCUUCAGUUAAUGUCGUGAGAUUUUGGUUCGUUCCUUUAAUUAACGAAAACCCUUGCUUUAUUUGUUUUUAUAAAGUAGUUCACCGUGAUAUUGGAUGAGAUAAUAGGGACUAAGACAAGUCAUCAUGGCCUUAAUAGC
Molecule: ribosomal RNA, 633 nt
Filed under: Chaetothyriales sp. A522
Lineage: Eukaryota; Fungi; Ascomycota; Eurotiomycetes; Chaetothyriales
Also listed under: 1 other name
Description: SSU rRNA
Rfam family: Bacterial small subunit ribosomal RNA
Source: RNAcentral